UACGUAGGAGGCGAGCGUUGUCCGGAAUCACUGGGCGUAAAGCGCGUGUAGGCGGUCGGGCCAGUCUGCUGUGAAAGCGCCCCGCUUAACGGGGCGAGGUCGGCGGAAACUGCCUGACUGGAGGACGGUAGAGGGGGGUGGAAUUCCCGGUGUAGUGGUGAAAUGCGUAGAGAUCGGGAGGAACACCUGUGGCGAAGGCGGCCCCCUGGGCCGCUCCUGACGCUGAGACGCGAAGGCGCGGGGAGCGAACGGG
RNAcentral lists this ribosomal RNA (253 nucleotides) under uncultured bacterium. Its description in RNAcentral is "partial 16S ribosomal RNA". It matches the Rfam family "Bacterial small subunit ribosomal RNA", at positions 524 to 776 of the family's 1533-position model. The record is from RNAcentral.